This is a non-coding RNA of Mycena rebaudengoi, 86 nucleotides long. The record is from the annotation of a GenBank genome assembly. NCBI's taxonomy places the organism in Eukaryota, Fungi, Basidiomycota, Agaricomycetes, Agaricales, Mycenaceae.
GCCCUGGUUGAUUAAUGGAAAUCACCUCCCCAUUCUUGUCAGUGUGAAUAUGAUGGGAGUCGGAGGUUCGAAUCCUCCCCAGGGCA